This 497-nucleotide ribosomal RNA is filed under the name uncultured bacterium. RNAcentral's name for it is "partial 16S ribosomal RNA". It matches the Rfam family "Bacterial small subunit ribosomal RNA", at positions 28 to 507 of the family's 1533-position model. The record is from RNAcentral.
GAUGAACGCUGGCGGCGUGCCUAAUACAUGCAAGUCGAGCGAACAGACGAGGAGCUUGCUCCUUUGACGUUAGCGGCGGACGGGUGAGUAACACGUAGGUAACCUACCUAUAAGACUGGGAUAACUUCGGGAAAGCGGAGCUUACACCGGAUAAUAUUUCGAACCGCAUGGUUCGAUAGUGAAAGAUGGCUUUGCUAUAACUUCUAGCUGGACCUGCGCCGUAUUAGCUAGUUGGUAAGGUACCGGCUUACCAAGGCAACGAUACGUAGCCGACCUGAGAGGGUGAUCGGCCACACUGGAACGGAGACACGGUCCAGACUCCUACGGGAGGCAGCAGUAGGGAAUCUUCCGCAAUAGGCGAAAGCCUGACGGAGCAACGCCGCGUGAGUGAUGAAGGUCUUCGGAUCGUAAAACUCUGUUAUGAGGGAAGAACAAACGUGUAAGUAACUGUGCACGUCUUGACGGUACCUAAUCAGAAAGCCACGGCUAACUACGUG